This 849-nucleotide ribosomal RNA is filed under the name Funneliformis mosseae. RNAcentral describes it as "eukaryotic LSU rRNA". It matches the Rfam family "Eukaryotic large subunit ribosomal RNA", at positions 1 to 695 of the family's 3401-position model. Lineage: Eukaryota; Fungi; Glomeromycota; Glomeromycetes; Glomerales; Glomeraceae. The record is from RNAcentral.
ACCUCAAAUCAGGUAAGAAUACCCGCUGAACUUAAGCAUAUCAAUAAGCGGAGGAAAAGAAAAUAACAAUGAUUCCCUCAGUAACGGCGAGCGAAGAGGGAUAAGCUCAAAUUUUAAAUCUGUUGGGUUCCACUUAACAGAGUUGUAUUUUGAAGAAACGUUUUCUGCAUCCAGGAUUAGCCUAAAUCCUUUGGGAUAAGGUAUCAUGGAGGGUGAGAAUCCCGUUCAUGGUUAAUCUUAAGGAAGCUCUACGAUACGUUUUCCAAGAGUCGAGUUGUUUGGGAUUGCAGCUCAAAAUGGGAGGUAAAUUUCUCCUAAGGCUAAAUAUUGGCGAGAGACCGAUAGCGAACAAGUACCGUGAGGGAAAGAUGAAAAGAACUUUGAAAAGAGAGUUAAACAGUACGUGAAAUUGUUGAAAGGGAAACGAUUGAAGUCAGUCAUACCAACGGGAAAUCAACCUUUUGAGCUCGGUCUCGUGGGUUUUGAAGAGUUUCAAAGCCUUCGGAUUCGCGGGAUUGGGAUCUCUUGGUGUACUUUUUCGUACGGUUAGUCAACAUCGGUUUUGAAUGUCAUAAAAUGACUGGAGGAAUGUAGCUUCGAUCUCGUAUUGAAGUGUUAUAGCCUUUGGUAGAUGUGAUGUUUGAGACCGAGGAUUGCAACGGAUACCCUUUAGGGCUAUUCGUCUGAUCUCUGAUACGUUGCCUUGAUGUUGAAAGCUUGCUUAUGAUGUUAGGGUAUUACGGUCAAAAGGUUAGAACGGAUUAGAUUCGUUAAGGAUGUUGACGUAAUGACUUUAAACGACCCGUCUUGAAACACGGACCAAGGAGUCUAACAUAUAUGCGAGUGUUA